UUAAGCGACUAAGCGUACACGGUGGAUGCCCUGGCAGUCAGAGGCGAUGAAGGACGUGCUAAUCUGCGAUAAGCGUCGGUAAGGUGAUAUGAACCGUUAUAACCGGCGAUUUCCGAAUGGGGAAACCCAGUGUGAUUCGUCACACUAUCAUUAACUGAAUCCAUAGGUUAAUGAGGCGAACCGGGGGAACUGAAACAUCUAAGUACCCCGAGGAAAAGAAAUCAACCGAGAUUCCCCCAGUAGCGGCGAGCGAACGGGGAGCAGCCCAGAGCCUGAAUCAGUGUGUGUGUUAGUGGAAGCGUCUGGAAAGGCGCGCGAUACAGGGUGACAGCCCCGUACACAAAAAUGCACAUACUGUGAGCUCGAUGAGUAGGGCGGGACACGUGGUAUCCUGUCUGAAUAUGGGGGGACCAUCCUCCAAGGCUAAAUACUCCUGACUGACCGAUAGUGAACCAGUACCGUGAGGGAAAGGCGAAAAGAACCCCGGCGAGGGGAGUGAAAAAGAACCUGAAACCGUGUACGUACAAGCAGUGGGAGCACAGAGCAAUCUGUGUGACUGCGUACCUUUUGUAUAAUGGGUCAGCGACUUAUAUUCUGUAGCAAGGUUAACCGAAUAGGGGAGCCGAAGGGAAACCGAGUCUUAACUGGGCGUUAAGUUGCAGGGUAUAGACCCGAAACCCGGUGAUCUAGCCAUGGGCAGGUUGAAGGUUGGGUAACACUAACUGGAGGACCGAACCGACUAAUGUUGAAAAAUUAGCGGAUGACUUGUGGCUGGGGGUGAAAGGCCAAUCAAACCGGGAGAUAGCUGGUUCUCCCCGAAAGCUAUUUAGGUAGCGCCUCGUGAAUUCAUCUCCGGGGGUAGAGCACUGUUUCGGCUAGGGGGUCAUCCCGACUUACCAACCCGAUGCAAACUGCGAAUACCGGAGAAUGUUAUCACGGGAGACACACGGCGGGUGCUAACGUCCGUCGUGAAGAGGGAAACAACCCAGACCGCCAGCUAAGGUCCCAAAGUCAUGGUUAAGUGGGAAACGAUGUGGGAAGGCCCAGACAGCCAGGAUGUUGGCUUAGAAGCAGCCAUCAUUUAAAGAAAGCGUAAUAGCUCACUGGUCGAGUCGGCCUGCGCGGAAGAUGUAACGGGGCUAAACCAUGCACCGAAGCUGCGGCAGCGACGCUUAUGCGUUGUUGGGUAGGGGAGCGUUCUGUAAGCCUGCGAAGGUGUGCUGUGAGGCAUGCUGGAGGUAUCAGAAGUGCGAAUGCUGACAUAAGUAACGAUAAAGCGGGUGAAAAGCCCGCUCGCCGGAAGACCAAGGGUUCCUGUCCAACGUUAAUCGGGGCAGGGUGAGUCGACCCCUAAGGCGAGGCCGAAAGGCGUAGUCGAUGGGAAACAGGUUAAUAUUCCUGUACUUGGUGUUACUGCGAAGGGGGGACGGAGAAGGCUAUGUUGGCCGGGCGACGGUUGUCCCGGUUUAAGCGUGUAGGCUGGUUUUCCAGGCAAAUCCGGAAAAUCAAGGCUGAGGCGUGAUGACGAGGCACUACGGUGCUGAAGCAACAAAUGCCCUGCUUCCAGGAAAAGCCUCUAAGCAUCAGGUAACAUCAAAUCGUACCCCAAACCGACACAGGUGGUCAGGUAGAGAAUACCAAGGCGCUUGAGAGAACUCGGGUGAAGGAACUAGGCAAAAUGGUGCCGUAACUUCGGGAGAAGGCACGCUGAUAUGUAGGUGAAGUCCCUCGCGGAUGGAGCUGAAAUCAGUCGAAGAUACCAGCUGGCUGCAACUGUUUAUUAAAAACACAGCACUGUGCAAACACGAAAGUGGACGUAUACGGUGUGACGCCUGCCCGGUGCCGGAAGGUUAAUUGAUGGGGUCAGCGCAAGCGAAGCUCUUGAUCGAAGCCCCGGUAAACGGCGGCCGUAACUAUAACGGUCCUAAGGUAGCGAAAUUCCUUGUCGGGU
RNAcentral lists this ribosomal RNA (1951 nucleotides) under metagenome. RNAcentral's name for it is "bacterial LSU rRNA". It matches the Rfam family "Bacterial large subunit ribosomal RNA", at positions 1 to 1977 of the family's 2925-position model. The record is from RNAcentral.